GGGAGCUUGCUCCCGGAUGUUAGCGGCGGACGGGUGAGUAACACGUGGGUAACCUGCCUGUAAGACUGGGAUAACUCCGGGAAACCGGAGCUAAUACCGGAUAGUUCCUUGAACCGCAUGGUUCAAGGAUGAAAGACGGUUUCGGCUGUCACUUACAGAUGGACCCGCGGCGCAUUAGCUAGUUGGUGAGGUAACGGCUCACCAAGGCGACGAUGCGUAGCCGACCUGAGAGGGUGAUCGGCCACACUGGGACUGAGACACGGCCCAGACUCCUACGGGAGGCAGCAGUAGGGAAUCUUCCGCAAUGGACGAAAGUCUGACGGAGCAACGCCGCGUGAGUGAUGAAGGUUUUCGGAUCGUAAAGCUCUGUUGUUAGGGAAGAACAAGUGCAAGAGUAACUGCUUGCACCUUGACGGUACCUAACCAGAAAGCCACGGCUAACUACGUGCCAGCAGCCGCGGUAAUACGUAGGUGGCAAGCGUUGUCCGGAAUUAUUGGGCGUAAAGGGCUCGCAGGCGGUUUCUUAAGUCUGAUGUGAAAGCCCCCGGCUCAACCGGGGAGGGUCAUUGGAAACUGGGAAACUUGAGUGCAGAAGAGGAGAGUGGAAUUCCACGUGUAGCGGUGAAAUGCGUAGAGAUGUGGAGGAACACCAGUGGCGA
Molecule: ribosomal RNA, 659 nt
Filed under: Bacillus altitudinis
Lineage: Bacteria; Bacillati; Bacillota; Bacilli; Caryophanales; Bacillaceae
Description: bacterial SSU rRNA
Rfam family: Bacterial small subunit ribosomal RNA
Source: RNAcentral